Molecule: ribosomal RNA, 497 nt
Filed under: uncultured bacterium
Lineage: Bacteria
Description: partial 16S ribosomal RNA
Rfam family: Bacterial small subunit ribosomal RNA
Source: RNAcentral
GAUGAACGCUGGCGGCGUGCCUAAUACAUGCAAGUCGAGCGAACGGACGAGAAGCUUGCUUCUCUGACGUUAGCGGCGGACGGGUGAGUAACACGUGGAUAACCUACCUAUAAGACUGGGAUAACUUCGGGAAACCGGAGCUAAUACCGGAUAAUAUCAUGAACCGCAUGGUUCAAAAGUGAAAGACGGUCUUGCUGUCACUUAUAGAUGGAUCCGCGCUGCAUUAGCUAGUUGGUAAGGUAACGGCUUACCAAGGCAACGAUGCAUAGCCGACCUGAGAGGGGGAUCGGCCACACUGGAACGGAGACACGGUCCAGACUCCUACGGGAGGCAGCAGUAGGGAAUCUUCCGCAAUGGGCGAAAGCCUGACGGAGCAACGCCGCGUGAGUGAUGAAGGUCUUCGGAUCGUAAAACUCUGUUAUUAGGGAAGAACAUAUGUGUAAGUAACUGUGCACAUCUUGACGGUACCUAAUCAGAAAGCCACGGCUAACUACGUG